Molecule: ribosomal RNA, 2316 nt
Filed under: Triticum aestivum (bread wheat)
Lineage: Eukaryota; Viridiplantae; Streptophyta; Magnoliopsida; Poales; Poaceae
Description: partial small subunit ribosomal RNA
Source: RNAcentral
AUGUCCUGUGGCCGUCUGGCUGGAGCGGUGGGGAUGUGGACGGGUGGUCAGACGCGCCGUUGGUUUAGGUGGCUGUGUGCCCGCGUCGCGUCGGUCGGCGCACGUAGUACCGAGUGCUUGUACAUGUCAUUCCUCCUUGCCGAGGGCGGCGGCGUCGGGAAGAAGUCGUCGUCCUCGCCGUGGAUAGCUGUGGCGUUGCAGAUCGGGGCGCAUCACUGCGGAUCCACCUUCGACAUUGCCGGAGAGGAGCGCCGCCACGGAUCCGACCGGAACGGGACCGGAUCGAUCACCCGCAUGUGCUCCAGGAAGCGCGCCCCGUCCGUCCCGCUCGGUCGCGCAGCACACAGCAGGCAGCCCCAAGGUCAGUGGAUGCAGGAGACCGAUGCGGUGGCAGGCGGGCAUAAGAGUGAGGCUGCCUGCUCGUCGACGCGGGCGGCGAUGCGGCGGGGGGAGGGGAAGGGCGAGAGGAAUAUACGAGACAUGGAUAUGGACUUUGGAGAUGCACAGAAAGAAUCCAUUGAGGGUUCAGAUGCAAUGUCGCUGGAAGGGGCCGGAAAUUCACAACAUAAUAACGUCGAAGAGGUUAUAUCUCAUAACAAACCAAAAAAGGAUGCUAAUUUACAUGUUAUCCCACAAGACUAUGUUUGUACCCCUAGAGAUAUUACAGUCAUCGAAUCAAUCAAGUCUGCCCCCAAGAAUACCCAGUUCGUGGACAUUGGAGAUGCCUUGUUAGCAACCGACGAUUUGAGAUGCCUUAUAAAAAAUGAUAUGUUCUUACAUGACGGUGUGAUAAAUGCUUACAUAUAUUGCAUGCUUGCUCACAAGCAUCUACAAGACAGGGCGGGUGAAAGGGUACACAUUAUUAGCACGUUUGUAUCUGGCCAGAUAAAAGAAGACGGGGAAAGAGACAUAGACCCAUCAAAAUAUCACCGCAUCGUGCUUCAUGUCAAUACUUAUCUACAGCAAGAUAUGUUAUUCAUUCCGAUUAACAUGCCGGGCUACCAUUGGUAUCUAGCAGUCGCCAAUGCCAAAAAACGUGAGAUUCAAGUAUUGGACUCACUUGGUUCUCGUGUCAAACGCAAUGACCUUGCUACUACGUUACUAGGACUCGAGAAGCGAAUAAAACUUGUAGAGCACAGUCCGGAGUUUAUCAGAGGUCAUAAGUGGCCCGAUCUGAAUGUUACAAAAUGGACGGUUGUAGAGCAGUUUCAUGAGGCAAUGCAAACCGAUGGCGUAUCAUGUGGACUGUUUAUGCUAAAUUAUAUGGAAUACUGGACAUCACAUGGACUGUCAGACACGUUCACCCAGGAGGAUAUGAAACAUUUUCGAAAAAAAUUAGCUGUCAUUUUGCUCGAUUCAGAGCUGAAUAAGCUAAAAGGAGAUCCCAUAUACCAUCAACCUGACGAUGAAGAAACUUUAGCUAAUUCUGAUAUCGAGAUCCUGGAGAAUCCAUCUGACGUAGUCAAAGACAAACGUCCUGCCCCAAUCACUACAAUACCCACGGACCAACGUGAAUUACUUGCCGGCCUCUGCAACUACAUCAUGUCUAUCGAUGAUGCCGGGUGUUUGGAGAAGGUAUGGGUCCGGAGCUCGACACCCGAUCCAAUGGGCUUAAGUCUUAAGAAACUUCAGUGCAUACUUAACAUGGAGCAGACCAUGGACAAUGACUGCUUCAACACAGCCGUGCGUAUGCUGGCAUGUGACGAGGGAGUAUUGUUCACAGACCCUCCUGUGCACUACAUGGAUCUACGAUUUUGUUUCAUGAUGCUAGAGUCAACACGAGGUCAGAAGUUUUGCGAGAAGGAAACUAUCCAGAGGUUGGCAACAUUAUUUGAUAGCUGGCCUGAGAUGGACAACGACAUCUCAUCGUGCAACAAGAUUUAUCUUCCCUAUGCAUCCAUCGGCCGAUACAUCUUGAAUUUGUCUGGCUAUUUUGUUUUUCAUUUUAUGCUCUGGUGGAACGGUCAAGAUUUGGUCAAGCCGAUUUGCGCGGAUGGCUGUAGAUGCUGUAACCCGACGUGGCAAACACGGCUCGACCGGACUAAACCGGGCAGCCACUCACGCGCCUCGUCGAGUCCCACUCGGCCGGCCGGAACCAAACCAAACAAGAAGGAAAACAUGUCCACAUCACGGGCGGCCAGCCAGCCAGCCACGACGCCCCUCCAUUUCUCCCCACUGCCCGACCUCCCCGCACGCACGCGCGAGCAUCUCCAACUCCGCCCCCGCCCCCGCCUCCGAUUCCACGCCUCCUCUGCGCGCGCCAGAUCCGGCCAGCGCAGGCGUGACGCGGCGGGCCUGCUCUCGCGCCGCGCUUGA